AAACCCAAAAAGGCCAGCUGGCCCCUGACCCAAAUCAGAGCUACACUGAAGACUCUCAGUCUAUCCCCAGCAGAACAUCUUAAUGUGGUCCACCCAGAAACUGAACCGAAGCCACAUUCCUGGCAAAAGGAGUUUCAUCUUGGCCGUCUGCUCUUGGCUUUGGCCAGCUGGGCUCAGGGAGAUCUAAAAACCUAGGACAGUGCAUGGAUCCAGUAGACGAGUCCAGGCCUCCCCUUCCCCAGAGCUAAGCGGCAUCCCUCAUCACCUCCCCAACCCCAGAUAGACUCCCUACAGCGUAGCUGCCUGGUCCUAGCACUAGCUCAAAAUACAGGCAGGAGAACAAACAGUGCAAAAAGCAAAUGACGAACAGAGUAAUUUGUGACGUACACAAUACAAAAAUAAAAAUAAAGAGUGCCCCACCCCACCCCUUUAACCUAAACUUCAUGUACCUAUAUCAUCUUGAAGGAGCCCCCCCCCCCCCCCCCCCCCGCCUCCCCGAACAAAAAAAAAAAAGCUUUCAAGUUCAGCAUCAUGGGCCAGCUAUGACCAGCCCCGGGCAGCUGUUAGCUGGGUGGACUUGGCUCCAGGGGACUCUACCCCAGCCCCCCACCAUACUUCUUCCUGUUUCCUCACUUCUCCUUUAGUUUUUGUGAGCCAUAGAAAGAUGUUCCUUCCUUUCGGACACAAGCAGAGGAAAAUGCCCAUCCCUAUCCCUGGGCUCAGGGGAAAGGAGUGAGCUUGGAAACAGGGGUGGGCUUGGAAGCAAAGCUGCUUGGCUUACAGUACCGUUAGGAAAUGGCCCCAGGAGCCAGGGUUUCCUUCUGAGACUCUGAGUCACUGAAGGGAUGGGUUGAGGUGAGUAGGCGGGACCCCUCCUUCCUCAAAGACCCAGGCAAACUAACAAACAAGGCAAAAUGGAGGCAGCGAGUCCUCCUUCCUCCUCUUGUCUACUCCAUUGACAGUGGCCUACAGCUUUGAGGAGAUCUGAUGGAAGGGGAACCAAAGCCACUGUCAGAAGCCCAAUUAGUCAGGACGUCCAUUGCCCUGGGCAAAGGGUGCCCCGGAUCAAGGCUACAGGAUGCCAUCCUUCAAAGCAGGGAGCUUUGUGAAGCACUCCAGGAAGUGUUCCUCUUAUUGCGGCCUCAGUCCACAGUCAUCCAGAUGCCUGACUCAAUCCCCUACUACUGAGGCCUAAGUCACAGCUAAAAUAAAGGGCUCCCACUCUCAAAGGACUAAAUGCUGGCCCAGAGUAACUCAUUAAGAGCCAAAACCCAGGCCAUGAGCCCAAGAGCUACUUACUUU
This 1302-nucleotide long non-coding RNA is filed under the name Lynx pardinus (Iberian lynx). Lineage: Eukaryota; Metazoa; Chordata; Mammalia; Carnivora; Felidae. The record is from RNAcentral.